RNAcentral lists this long non-coding RNA (812 nucleotides) under Salmo salar (Atlantic salmon). RNAcentral's name for it is "lncRNA (ENSSSAG00000094602.1, ENSSSAG00000100876.1)". The record is from RNAcentral. Lineage: Eukaryota; Metazoa; Chordata; Actinopteri; Salmoniformes; Salmonidae.
AGUGUGCACGUGUGGAUGGCCGGUUCGUUUGUUUGUUUUGGACAAUGACUAUGGACAAUUAGGUUAUUUUUCGCAAAACCCCAGACACCCCAGGUCCCAUGGGCGGCUCGCUGGCAGAGAAAAAAAUGGUCUCUGUCGCUCUAGUCUGGUCUGGACAGAGCUGCUCCUCUGCUACACAUUGGCCUGGUAGUGGAGGAGGAGGAAGCUUUGCUGGUUCCCAAGAGAAAGUGACCUUCAUGGCCUAGAAAUCAAAAUAACCACGUCGGUGGCCAUCUUAGCCUUCACUGCAGCUGGCACGGAACACAACAAUGAACCAAUCCAUCAUGGGAUAGAGUCCUGCUGGUACAGCUCAGGGACGAAAGUAUCCAACUAUCCUACCUUAUAUCCUGGCCUAUGUCCUCCUGGUUUUGACCCUUUCCUGUUUCUGGACUCUGUACCCGCCUGCCUGACCAUUCUACCUGCCUUGACCACGAGCCUGUCUGCCACGCUGUACCUCCUGGACUCUGAUCUGGUUCUCACCUUUUGCCUGUCCAUGACCGUUCUCUUGCCUACCCCUUUUGGAUUAUUAAACAUCUUAAUCUCCAACCAUCUGCCUCCUGUGUCUGCUUCUGGGUCUCGCCUUGUGUCAUGAUAAUCCUAGCCUAUGGUAAACUAUCCUAACUUAUUAUAUAUCCUACCUUAUAUCCUGGCCUAUGGUAAACUAUCCUAACUUAUUAUAUAUCCAACCUUAUAUCCUGUCCUAUGGUAAACUAUCCUAACUUAUUAUAUAUCCUACCUUAUAUCCUGGCCUAUGGUAAACUAUCCUAACUUAU